RNAcentral lists this ribosomal RNA (464 nucleotides) under uncultured bacterium. RNAcentral describes it as "bacterial SSU rRNA". It matches the Rfam family "Bacterial small subunit ribosomal RNA", at positions 330 to 793 of the family's 1533-position model. The record is from RNAcentral.
CCCAGACUCCUACGGGAGGCAGCAGUGGGGAAUAUUGCACAAUGGGGGAAACCCUGAUGCAGCGACGCCGCGUGAGUGAAGAAGUAUUUCGGUAUGUAAAGCUCUAUCAGCAGGGAAGAAAUAGCGACCUUUGGGUCGCCAGACGGUACCUGAAGAAGAAGCCCCGGCUAACUACGUGCCAGCAGCCGCGGCAAUACGUAGGGGGCAAGCGUUAUCCGGAUUUACUGGGUGUAAAGGGGGCGCAGACGGCGAUGCAAGCCAGGAGUGAAAGCCCGGGGCCCAACCCCGGGACUGCUCUUGGAACUGCGUGGCUGGAGUGCAGGAGGGGCAGGCGGAAUUCCUGGUGUAGCGGUGAAAUGCGUAGAUAUCAGGAGGAACACCGGUGGCGAAGGCGGCCUGCUGGACUGCAACUGACGUUGAGGCCCGAAAGCGUGGGGAGCAAACAGGAUUAGAUACCCGCGUAC